This 366-nucleotide long non-coding RNA is filed under the name Nicotiana benthamiana. RNAcentral describes it as "long non-coding RNA (NBEN_LNC034512)". The record is from RNAcentral. Lineage: Eukaryota; Viridiplantae; Streptophyta; Magnoliopsida; Solanales; Solanaceae.
UUCUUUUCACUUUGUAAUGUAAUUGUGUUUGUAGACUAAAACAACUUCAAAACAAAUCUUCAGACCAAACAUAACAGUUAAUCUGAUCUGAAAGAUCUCUUACAUAAUUUUCUAUUUAACAAUUCGUUGUCCCAAGCUCAACUAAUUCAAGUUCUCGAUGAACAAAUCGCUCUCUGCCAAAAGGUUUUUUAUUUUCAGACUCAAAAUCCGAGGCCUCUAGUAAAGGGUAGAGGGGUCCAAACUAUUCGACAACCCCCUCGAGGGUAAGUCCAGAUGAACAGUAGCACCACACUGAAUUACUCUUACAAAGAUGACACUCAUCAAUUCUAAUGAGAGCUAGCGGUAACAAAACAGGUAUAUUCUCUC